This is a non-coding RNA of Streptomyces ambofaciens ATCC 23877, 78 nucleotides long. The record is from Rfam. Lineage: Bacteria; Bacillati; Actinomycetota; Actinomycetes; Kitasatosporales; Streptomycetaceae.
UUGAGCCGGAUGCGGUGAACAGCCGCACGUCCGGUUCUGAGGGGGCCGGAGGGCGGCAACGCCCUCCGGCUACCCGAC